RNAcentral lists this long non-coding RNA (969 nucleotides) under Homo sapiens (human). RNAcentral describes it as "HSALNT0383500". Lineage: Eukaryota; Metazoa; Chordata; Mammalia; Primates; Hominidae. The record is from RNAcentral.
CACGAUCCUGCAGCACCGAGUUUGAUGAAUACUUAGGAAGGCAAACAAUCAUGAUCAGUAAUGGAACAGUCACUUAGGGUACACCUACUUCUUUGUGAGUUGAAUAAUCUAUUUCCACCCACCCCAGCCCCACACUGUCAACCACCAUCAACAAUCCGGGGAAUCAAGUUAAUCUUCAAUUAGGUGAAAGAAUUUCAGGAACGAGUGCAGCUCAAGUUACCAAGUAACUUACUGUUGUGAAACGAUUCAUACUGCAAGCCGCCUAAAUGCAGGGCUUUUGAUGAUAUUCCCCGCCAACAAGGCAUGAAGGUGGGGCUUGCCUCCAUCUGGCUCUCCUGCCACUUUCAACAACACACCCCACAUCCGAUCCUGCUUAGAGUCGAAGAUGAAUCUGGCAUAAUACAAACAGCACUGGACUGGAAGCAUGAAGUUUCUCUUAUCUGUGCCUUGGUUUCCUCAUGUGGAAAAUGAAAAUGUUGACAUAAAUAAUCACACAGGUCUCUGUUAGUACCAUUUUGUGAUUUUAUAUCGUGCUUACCACACCUAGAAACAGGGGCCAUCAUUCCAGCCAGCUAACAGAGAAAAAGACGAUACAUAAUCAGGCUUGGGAAAAUAAAUUUCAGAGACCAAGUAAACAAAGACAACAAUCUAGUAUAAGGGUUAUAACUGGGGGAUGAGGGGUUGCAAAUGGAGAUCUGCCACAGUCAACUCUAUUUGGAUUCCCCUGUUCUCAACAGGCAACAGCAAUCAUAAUGGGCUUGGAGCACCAGUCCCACAACAUCACAGGACAUCCAGACAUAAUUGCAUUAAUAAUGUUGUGCAUAAUCGCACAACUCUCUGGUUAUUCAGCAUCGUCCAAUAUGUGAAUAAAGCUCUGAGGAAAAAUUAAUGCUUGCUUAAUGCUUUGACACAUUUCCCUUUACAAAGCAAAGAUCCCUACUCCUCUCACUUUCUCACAUGGAGAAAAAA